UGGAGCACACAUUGGACCAACCUGUAAAUGUUGAAUAGCACAGGCAACAGUAGCAGAAGCAACCAUAUUUCUUCAUCUGCGCUUGACACAUAUCACCUCAGGGAUUUCACCUUCCACUAUGCAUACGGGGAGCCUUCGACUGAUUACUUCUCUCUAUGCCAUUGACAUUCUAUGUAAGAAAACUUUUUUUUCCUUCAGCGUUUUCUAUAAUUUUCUGAAUUUCUAAGAAUGUAAUAUCAUGUGUGUGUAUAUAAAAACUUUGUGCUUCUUUUGGUUUUAUAUGUUUUAUCUUUAAUUGUUACAAAUGGAAUUUGAAUUAAGACAGCACCAGCAAUAGAUCCUAUGGGUAGAUGUAAUAUUAAGACAAAUAUUUCCUACCAGCUUUGGAACCAAAUUAUGCUUCUUGGUUUUGGAGUGGCUUAACGAUGUAACGACGUGAUAUUAUUAAAGAUGAGUAAUUAGAGAUAAUUUUUGUUUAUUUAUAUUCAUUAUAUAAAUGAAUUUUUCAACUGCUUCCAGAUUCCCUCCCCCCCUUUUUAUGUGAUAGGUCAUAGAAAGACUAAUAGAAAUAUACUCAUGCUAGAGCACUUCUAGGAUUCUUCAUCCAAAGUCGAUCAGUUUUUAUGCUGUUAAGGUUGGAAUUCAGUUUGUUUCCAACACGCGAUGUUUUCAAUGGAAUCAAAAGAUGUAAUAUUGUUCCAAAUAUUUUAGAAGAUUGAGAAAUUGUUGAAAAGGAAUGAAAAUGAAUGGCAAGUUGACACUGACAGGACAAUAUAAUUUUCUUAUCACACAUUGUUCUCUUUCAUAAUCAUAUCUCCAAUCCCCAUUUUCAUCUCAUUCUUAUUUUCUGUAUUGAACCAGAAACACUAGCUAGUGAGAAAGAAGAUGGUAUAUCCCAAUUUAUGCCAAAAGAAAUUCUGUUUCUAAGCCUAUUUUGAUAGGAUGAAUCUCAAGAGAGUUUGAUCCUUACUCAGGAUGCUUAACACAUGCAAGUCAAAUGGGAAGUGGUGUUUCUACAUUCAAGGAUUUGUAUCGACCUUGAGGUCCUUUUGUAAGACCAGCAAGAAAUUCACCAUUUACCUGUGGAGGCGAUGAGAUGGCUUUUGUUUUUUUUGGAGUAAUGAUAAAAUUCCAUUGCAUCCAAAUCAAUCCGCCUUCCGCCUAAGCUACGCAUGAAAGGCCCCAAAGCUAUUUCUUUGGAAAGCUCUUACUAAGAUGAGAAAUUCUCCGAUAAAGCUGCUUCACCGUUCCUUGGGACUGGGAAGUAAGUAGUCCAAAACAGAUUCGAGUCAGAACCCAAAGUUCGUUUUCUCGAACUGAGGAUGGGUUUUUGGAGUUUUAUAAACAUGGUUGAUCGUCACUACACCUCAAAUGUUAGUGGAAAGUGUGACCACACCUGUCGUUCCAACCUAAAAAUUCCCUUUUCAAAUCUAUUUUU
Molecule: long non-coding RNA, 1438 nt
Filed under: Olea europaea subsp. europaea
Lineage: Eukaryota; Viridiplantae; Streptophyta; Magnoliopsida; Lamiales; Oleaceae
Source: RNAcentral